UACAAAGUGCCUGAUAAAAGGAAUAUUCUGAUAGAAUUUAUAAUGUAACUAUAGCCUUACCUUUGUUU
This 68-nucleotide transfer RNA is filed under the name Parapsyche elsis. Its description in RNAcentral is "tRNA-Ile". The record is from RNAcentral. Lineage: Eukaryota; Metazoa; Arthropoda; Insecta; Trichoptera; Hydropsychidae.